This 24-nucleotide microRNA is filed under the name Prunus persica (peach). RNAcentral's name for it is "microRNA miRNA_20". Lineage: Eukaryota; Viridiplantae; Streptophyta; Magnoliopsida; Rosales; Rosaceae. The record is from RNAcentral.
AUAGGGGUCCAAGAGAUUUGUAGU